UCUCGCCUUUCCAUCCUUUCCCUCCUCAUUCCUUUCCCUCCUUUUCCUUCUUUCCGUCUGUCGCUUACGAUAAUUUAGCCUUAAAAACAAAGCGUUGCUAGGUAGCAAUACUUGCUGAAUAGCUACGUUAUGCAACGCGCCAGCGAUUAAGCGAUUAGUGGCUCCAGAGAGGAUGUAUUAACCAACGGAUCGGCAAGUAGUUAAAUUAAUUUAGAAAACAUAAAUAGGCUGCAAAAGCAUCUGAAAGGUUAAGCACUUCGUGCAGUUAGCGGAUCAAUGCUUAACCCAGAAAACCGUUGCGCUCGUAAUAACCAGGCUCGACAAAAUGGUCGGGAACCCUGAAAGCAUUUACAAAUCUUUACUGCUAGAAUUACUAGUGAUAAAACAUAUAACGACAGAUAAUCCUUCAGCAUUUUUAGAAUUUUCCAACGCUUUGCGCAAUCUCAUUGACAACAUGGUGUUGUUGAAGCAAGAAGGAUUUUUGAAUGACCAAAGGCUGCUAAACGAUUUAACAUCAAGGUUUUCAACCGAACUUCGGAACGAAAGGUUGAACGAGAAUCGAACCGUUCGAACAGUUCGGUAAAGUGCACGAACGAACGAGAUUCUUAACAAAAAACGACCAGAACUUUUGGAAGAAACUGACUACACCGAACGCGUUCGAACGUUCCGUUCAUUGUUCGACGACACACAUAAACAGUGCUGCAAAAUGUCAUGACUAUCACGAGAUUUUCACCAACGAAAACAAUCAACAUAUCCGUGGUAGCUUGAUGUUCAUUGUUGAUAGUCAAUAAAAGUGCGUCAUGACAUGCUGAACACGACAUGUGAAUUCUUGAGUCCAACACGAUACUCUGACUGACAAGCUUAGCUUACUGCCCGCAUAAGCAUAAUCAUGACUAUUGCUGGCUGUGUACUGUGCUGCCAAAUAUCACUGUUUCAGUCACCAACGCUCAUGACUGAAACGAACCUCAAAUCAGCUCACGUACACAAGUGCGAUGAUCAGACGCAAGAUGAACAUAGUCGUUGUGACGUGUGACCAGAUUGGUGACAUUGCAGCAACCACCUCUUGGUCGGUCACUUUGACGUGACUUUGUUUAUCUGUGAUCAAUUUCGAAAUGUCACUGGUUCUAUCACGAGCACUCGUGAUUGAAAUGAAAUUCAUUUCGGUUCACGUACACAUGUGCGAUGAUCAGAGGUAAGACGCACAUGGUCGUUGUGACGUCUGAUCUGAUUGGUGAUAUUUUGGUAACCAACUCCUGGUCAAUCAGUUUGUCGUGAUUUUUUGGUAUUUUAUUAUCGCGAUAGACUUAGAAUAUACGUGGCGCGGGCGAGUGGUGUUUUAUUAACCAUGUGCAUAUGAUUACAAGCAGUAGUCGGUUCUGCUAGCUGGUUAAAUGAUCCCGCAUCCUACAUAUAUUGCCAGACUCAUUUUGCUGAUCCAAACGUUUAUAAAAACACUUAGACCCACAAACAGCCGGCACUGGAAUUUCAGGCGAUUUGGAAGAAGGGAAGGAAGAGUCAGUACGACUUUUAGCGGACAUUACCUAAGUUUCUUGUCCAGAUGACCAAUUUUACGCUGUUCGAUGGUAACGGGAAUCCUAUGUUAAUGAUGAUCUCCGGGGGCGGAUACACGGGCUGUUGUUGGUGGCAGUGGAUAGACGCUAGGUGUCAGCAUGCCGUGCCCGUUAGAAAAUCCGUACCCGUGCGCGGUGUCAAUUGCGCCAAAGGUGGAUUAUGAAAGGUGCAGGAAUUUGGUGGCUUUGUCUAGAGUUAGUGCUUUCGGAUAUGAAAAUAAUAAAACCAGGAUGUAAAACAAAAACUAUCUACCUUUUCAUCCAUCUACAAAA
This is a long non-coding RNA of Anopheles gambiae (African malaria mosquito), 1844 nucleotides long. RefSeq lists it as uncharacterized. Lineage: Eukaryota; Metazoa; Arthropoda; Insecta; Diptera; Culicidae. The record is from RefSeq and is a predicted model, not a curated record. The transcript is spliced from 2 exons.